UAGUCCACGCAGUAAACGAUGUCUAUUAGAAGUUUGUUGCUAUAUGCAGUGGGUUUCAAAGCUAACGCAUUAAAUAGACCGCCUGGGGAGUACGGCCGCAAGGUUAAAACUCAAAUGAAUUGACGGGGGCCCGCACAAGCGGUGGAGCAUGUGGUUUAAUUCGAUGCAACGCGAAGAACCUUACCAUCCCUUGACAUCCAGAGAAUCUGUUAGAGAUAGUAGAGUGCCUUCGGGAACUCUGAGACAGGUGCUGCAUGGCUGUCGUCAGCUCGUGUUGUGAAAUGUUGGGUUAAGUCCCGCAACGAGCGCAACCCUUAUCCUUACUUGCCAGCGGGUUAUGCCGGGAACUUUAGGGAGACUGCCGGUGAUAAACCGGNGGAAGGUGGGGACGACGUCAAGUCAUCAUGGGCCCUUACGGGGAUGGGGCUAC
RNAcentral lists this ribosomal RNA (430 nucleotides) under uncultured bacterium. Its description in RNAcentral is "bacterial SSU rRNA". It matches the Rfam family "Bacterial small subunit ribosomal RNA", at positions 791 to 1217 of the family's 1533-position model. The record is from RNAcentral.